AUGUAAUGUGUGUAUUGUACACGUGGACAGUGUAUGAAGUGACUGAUAAUGAUGCCAUUGUCACUGCCAUGCAAGCAGCAGCAUAUGCACACAGCACAGAACAGAACCGAUUUCAGCAUAUAAUUUGAGCUUUAAUAGUCAACAAUUAUGUUGUCCUGUCGAUGUCACAUCAAUACUCAUGCUGCUAACAUGAUCUUAGAAUUGCUCGUCAGGAUAUUCCUCUUGAUUGCCUUCUUAAUUACUGAGGAGCUUGACCCAUUUCAACGAGUAAUACAGCCAGAAGAGAUGUGGUUAUACAAGAACCCCCACUCUGUGCACAGCACUGUAACAACAAGGAUGCUAUUUGGCUCUGCUAUCCUGGUGCCGCUUUGUGUUAUAACAAUCUUUAGUCUCAUGAGGAAAGAUAGACUCGAUUUUCUACAUGCUGUUUUAGCUUGCUCGCUUGCUGAGCUUUUAGAUGGAGUACUUACAAAUAGCAUCAAGUUAAUUAUUGCAAGACCACGGCCAGACUUCUUUUAUCGCUGUUUUCCUGAUGGCGUGAUGACAACAGAUCUCAAAUGUACAGGAGAUUUAGAUACGAUCAAUGAAGGCAGAAAGAGCUUUCCUAGUGGACAUUCCUCGUUUUCAUUUUGUGCCUUUGGCUUUACUGCCUUUUACCUGGCCGGAAAACUACACACAUUUGAGAGUCGAGGACGAGGCGUAGGCUGGAGGAUACUGGUAACAUUAGCUCCCCUCUAUGUUGCCCUCAUGGUUGCGUUAUCAAGAACAGCUGACUACAGGCAUCACUAUGAAGAUGUUAUAGCUGGGUCUCUACUUGGUCUUGCCGUUGCCUAUGCCAUCUAUCGCCAGUACUUCCCAGCCCUCACCCACGCCACGUGUGACAAAUCUUACGCAAGGCUUUACGCCCUCAGAGACGCAAUGUCGUUGCAAGAGUACAACACAAACAAUGCAAUAAGUACACGUAUACCACUGGACAGUGUUAAAACUGUUUGAUGAAUGGAGCAUGCUGUAGACUACAGCAUUACAGCAGAUAUUGAUGAAUUGAUAUUCAAAAGACAUGUAACGAUCAAAGAUCAUGUAUGUCUGGAAUCAUGUAGUCCCUUUUGUUUACAAGAAAUGGUCCACAUCAAGAAGGGAAUGCAGGCUUACUUCAUUCCAUCGUGUCUGUGUGUUGGGUCUAGGUGGCGGGUUACGUGAACUUUUGUUGAUAAUUGAGCCCUAAUUCUGAAAGGGUCGGGUGCAACGUUUGUGAAAUGAUGUCCACCCUUCAAUAUCGCCAAAGUGUAGUGUCCAGUUUACCCAACACUUUCUCUACAGCAAAUCUACAAAAAGUUGUGUCUUAACCCGACACUUUUUUAGUACAAGAUAAAUAAUCAAAAGAGUUAAUAAAAAAAGCUAGUGAUCCACAUGUACACUUCGUCAUUGUAUUGGCACAUUUUCGCAGAUGUAAUUGGAAAAAAAAGAUUAGCUUCAUCUCAAGGACAAUAUUUGAAAAAAAUGGGAUCAAUGCGAAUGAUCAUCAUUCACAUUCAAUAUACCCGACCUUUCAUGAACAUGGGGGCAUUUUUUUACAAAAGUUUGUAUAACCCAACGUAUUAAACACACCUGACAAUUUGUGAAUAAGGGGAUGUGUAAACAAUCGUUCUUGAAACCGGAUAUGGCAAUUAGAGAGAGAGAAUGCUGAAUCUGCAUAGUACAGAUACAAGUAUUGUACUAUGUACAACGUACUGGGACCAAAAAGAAGGUCCAUCUGUUAAUUGAUUUAAUGUAGUUCUCUCUUUACAAUCAGUGUUUUGGUAUUAGCUUUUCACUUGCCGUGAUGCAAGCCUCUUCAAACCUCUGUGGUAUAUAUACCGUAUUGUCGUACUGCUACAACAAAUUGUGGUUGUGAAGAAAGAAUUACUUUUCAAAGUGCUGGGACCAGUUUAAUAUUCCGCUUAUAUAGCUCUUAACACAAAUGUCUCUAAGCGCUUUACAAAUAUACCCCGGUCAUUGGAUUCAGUGCUUCCUCGUACACACUGUGUGCACAAUCUCCACUCCAUGGGGAGCAU
Molecule: long non-coding RNA, 2051 nt
Organism: Strongylocentrotus purpuratus (purple sea urchin)
Lineage: Eukaryota; Metazoa; Echinodermata; Echinoidea; Camarodonta; Strongylocentrotidae
Product: phospholipid phosphatase 5
Exons: 7
Source: RefSeq, a predicted model, not a curated record